Molecule: long non-coding RNA, 391 nt
Filed under: Mus caroli (Ryukyu mouse)
Lineage: Eukaryota; Metazoa; Chordata; Mammalia; Rodentia; Muridae
Description: lncRNA (MGP_CAROLIEiJ_G0003149.1)
Source: RNAcentral
CCAGGCUCCAGGAGGGUGACUCUGAGGAUUCUCCAGGAUGGUCUCCAGGGUCCAAGAAAACAAGACAAGGGCCAGAGAACUAAGGCUGGAGCGUUUGGGACCCAUCCUAGGUACACAGCUGCCCUGUCACAGCACAGAACCUACCACGUGCCACGUCAGCAGCCAGCACUUGAGCGCAACCUUCUGAAGACGGCGCACAGCCAACAGUCUCCUCAAGGUACACCGGAGACCAACCACAGGCUGGCUUUCAAGCUGCUUUCACCUCUGGCUUAUCUGUGUGCUGACCUGCUUCCCAAGGCUCCCAGCUAUUGGCAGCACUUGGCCCAGGGUUAUAGGAGAGAACAAAGCCAGCCAAAGCGCUGCCCUGGGAAGUGUACAACACAACAAGAAA